AACGAACGCUGGAGGCAGGCCUAACACAUGCAAGUCGAACGCCCUAGCAAUAGGGAGUGGCGCACGGGUGCGUAACACGUGGGAAAGUACCCCGGAGUAAGGAAUAAUGACUGCAAACGGACCAAAAUACCUUAUAAUGACUUUGGGGCAACGAGUUAGCGCCCUGGGAUCAGCCCGCGUCAGAUUAGCUAGCUGGUGAGGUAAUGGCUCACCAAGGCAAAGAUCAGUAGCUGGUCUGAGAGGAUGAUCAGCCAACCUGGAUCUGAGACACGGUCCAGACUCCUGCGGGAGGCAGCAGUGAGGAAUAUUGCACAAUGGAGGAAACUCUGAUGCAGCGAUGCCGCGUGAGUGAAGAAGGCCUUCUGGUUGUAAAGCUCGUGUAGUGGUGAAGAUGAUGACGGUAGCGACAGAAAAAGUGCCGGCUAAAUUCGUGCCAGCCGCCGCUGUAA
This 449-nucleotide ribosomal RNA is filed under the name uncultured bacterium. Its description in RNAcentral is "partial 16S ribosomal RNA". It matches the Rfam family "Bacterial small subunit ribosomal RNA", at positions 29 to 523 of the family's 1533-position model. The record is from RNAcentral.